This 872-nucleotide ribosomal RNA is filed under the name human gut metagenome. RNAcentral describes it as "bacterial SSU rRNA". It matches the Rfam family "Bacterial small subunit ribosomal RNA", at positions 8 to 900 of the family's 1533-position model. The record is from RNAcentral.
AGAGUUUGAUUCUGGCUCAGAACGAACGCUGGCGGCGUGGAUAAGACAUGCAAGUCGAACGGGAGAAUUGCUAGCUUGCUAAUAAUUCUCUAGUGGCGCACGGGUGAGUAACACGUGAGUAACCUGCCCCCAAGAGUGGGAUAGCCCCGGGAAACUGGGAUUAAUACCGCAUAAAAUCGCAAGAUUAAAGCAGCAAUGCGCUUGGGGAUGGGCUCGCGUCCUAUUAGUUAGUUGGUGAGGUAACGGCUCACCAAGGCGAUGACGGGUAGCCGGUCUGAGAGGAUGUCCGGCCACACUGGAACUGAGACACGGUCCAGACACCUACGGGUGGCAGCAGUCGAGAAUCAUUCACAAUGGGGGAAACCCUGAUGGUGCGACGCCGCGUGGGGGAAUGAAGGUCUUCGGAUUGUAAACCCCUGUCAUGUGGGAGCAAAUUAAAAAGAUAGUACCACAAGAGGAAGAGACGGCUAACUCUGUGCCAGCAGCCGCGGUAAUACAGAGGUCUCAAGCGUUGUUCGGAAUCACUGGGCGUAAAGCGUGCGUAGGCGGUUUCGUAAGUCGUGUGUGAAAGGCGGGGGCUCAACCCCCGGACUGCACAUGAUACUGCGAGACUAGAGUAAUGGAGGGGGAACCGGAAUUCUCGGUGUAGCAGUGAAAUGCGUAGAUAUCGAGAGGAACACUCGUGGCGAAGGCGGGUUCCUGGACAUUAACUGACGCUGAGGCACGAAGGCCAGGGGAGCGAAAGGGAUUAGAUACCCCUGUAGUCCUGGCAGUAAACGGUGCACGCUUGGUGUGCGGGGAAUCGACCCCCUGCGUGCCGGAGCUAACGCGUUAAGCGUGCCGCCUGGGGAGUACGGUCGCAAGAUUAAAAC